RNAcentral lists this ribosomal RNA (425 nucleotides) under uncultured bacterium. RNAcentral describes it as "bacterial SSU rRNA". It matches the Rfam family "Bacterial small subunit ribosomal RNA", at positions 354 to 796 of the family's 1533-position model. The record is from RNAcentral.
GUGGGGAAUCUUAGACAAUGGGGGCAACCCUGAUCUAGCCAUGCCGCGUGAGUGAUGAAGGCCUUCGGGUUGUAAAGCUCUUUCAGCUGGGAAGAUAAUGACGGUACCAGCAGAAGAAGCCCCGGCUAACUCCGUGCCAGCAGCCGCGGUAAUACGGAGGGGGCUAGCGUUGUUCGGAAUUACUGGGCGUAAAGCGCACGUAGGCGGAUCAGCCAGUCAGGGGUGAAAUCCCGGGGCUCAACCCCGGAACUGCCCUUGAUACUGUUGGUCUGGAGUUCGAGAGAGGUGAGUGGAAUUCCGAGUGUAGAGGUGAAAUUCGUAGAUAUUCGGAGGAACACCAGUGGCGAAGGCGGCUCACUGGCUCGAUACUGACGCUGAGGUGCGAAAGCGUGGGGAGCAAACAGGAUUAGAUACCCCAGUAGUCC